RNAcentral lists this ribosomal RNA (430 nucleotides) under bacterium. RNAcentral describes it as "partial 16S ribosomal RNA". It matches the Rfam family "Bacterial small subunit ribosomal RNA", at positions 355 to 776 of the family's 1533-position model. The record is from RNAcentral.
UGGGGAAUAUUGGACAAUGGGCGGAAGCCUGAUCCAGCCAUGCCGCGUGUGUGAAGAAGGCCUUUCGGUUGUAAAGCACUUUAAGCGAGGAGGAGGCUACUUGGAUUAAUACUCUAGGAUAGUGGACGUUACUCGCAGAAUAAGCACCGGCUAACUCUGUGCCAGCAGCCGCGGUAAUACAGAGGGUGCGAGCGUUAAUCGGAUUUACUGGGCGUAAAGCGUGCGUAGGCGGCUUCUUAAGUCGGAUGUGAAAUCCCUGAGCUUAACUUAGGAAUUGCAUUCGAUACUGGGAAGCUAGAGUAUGGGAGAGGAUGGUAGAAUUCCAGGUGUAGCGGUGAAAUGCGUAGAGAUCUGGAGGAAUACCGAUGGCGAAGGCAGCCAUCUGGCCUAAUACUGACGCUGAGGUACGAAAGCAUGGGGAGCAAACAGG